Molecule: ribosomal RNA, 410 nt
Filed under: Verrucomicrobiota bacterium
Lineage: Bacteria; Pseudomonadati; Verrucomicrobiota
Description: Verrucomicrobia bacterium partial 16S ribosomal RNA
Rfam family: Bacterial small subunit ribosomal RNA
Source: RNAcentral
UGGGGAAUCUUGCACAAUGGGCGAAAGCCUGAUGCAGCGACGCCGCGUGCGGGAUGAAGGCCUUCGGGUUGUAAACCGCUUUCAGCAGGGACGAGGCCGCAAGGUGACGGUACCUGCAGAAGAAGCCCCGGCUAACUACGUGCCAGCAGCCGCGGUAAUACGUAGGGGGCAAGCGUUAUCCGGAUUCAUUGGGCGUAAAGCGCGCGUAGGCGGUCUGUUAGGUCAGGAGUCAAAUCUGGGGGCUCAACCCCUAUCCGCUCCUGAUACCGGCAGGCUUGAGUCUGGUAGGGGAAGGCGGAAUUCCAAGUGUAACGGUGAAAUGCGCAGAUAUUUGGAAGAACACCGGUGGCGAAGGCGGCCUUCUGGGCCACGACUGACGCUGAGGAGCGAAAGCUAGGGGAGCGAACAGG